Ribosomal RNA from Nicotiana attenuata, 119 nucleotides. NCBI's taxonomy places the organism in Eukaryota, Viridiplantae, Streptophyta, Magnoliopsida, Solanales, Solanaceae. The record is from Rfam.
GGAUGCGAUCAUACCAGCACUAACGCACCGGAUCCCAUCAGAACUCCGAAGUGAAGCUUGCUUAGGCGAGAGUAGUCCUAGGAUGGGUGACCCCCUGGGAAGUGCUCGUGUUGCAUCCC